RNAcentral lists this long non-coding RNA (295 nucleotides) under Homo sapiens (human). Its description in RNAcentral is "non-protein coding lnc-EEF1AKMT1-4:2". Lineage: Eukaryota; Metazoa; Chordata; Mammalia; Primates; Hominidae. The record is from RNAcentral.
GCGAGUUUGAGACUGUUUAUGUAUUCAUGACUAAAACCAAAUCUGAGAUCUUUGGAACUCUUAGCUGGCCCUGGGGCAUGCGAGCCGCCUGUGCAUCCCUUUGGUCCACCUGGAGGCCCGUGAAGACCUUCAGUGGAAGGAAGAGUGGGUCAGAUGAGACGUGUCCAUUUCAUCAGUCAGCCAUCGGUGACAGGCUGAAUUCAGAGACCCAGGCCAGAGUGUACCAGCUACAAAAUUUAUCCAAGGAUUCCAAUUAUGCUUUAAAAAAUUCUACCAGAAGAAGUAAAAAACGAUG